RNAcentral lists this ribosomal RNA (253 nucleotides) under uncultured bacterium. RNAcentral's name for it is "partial 16S ribosomal RNA". It matches the Rfam family "Bacterial small subunit ribosomal RNA", at positions 524 to 776 of the family's 1533-position model. The record is from RNAcentral.
CACGGGGGGAGCAAGCGUUGUUCGGAAUUACUGGGCGUAAAGGGCUCGUAGGCGGCCAACUAAGUCAGACGUGAAAUCCCUCGGCUUAACCGGGGAACUGCGUCUGAUACUGGAUGGCUUGAGUUUGGGAGAGGGAUGCGGAAUUCCAGGUGUAGCGGUGAAAUGCGUAGAUAUCUGGAGGAAUACCGGUGGCGAAGGCGGCAUCCUGGACCGAGAUUGACACUGAUGAGCGAAAGCCAGGGGAGCAAACGGG